This 252-nucleotide ribosomal RNA is filed under the name Proteus mirabilis. RNAcentral's name for it is "partial 23S ribosomal RNA". It matches the Rfam family "Bacterial large subunit ribosomal RNA", at positions 1607 to 1841 of the family's 2925-position model. Lineage: Bacteria; Pseudomonadati; Pseudomonadota; Gammaproteobacteria; Enterobacterales; Morganellaceae. The record is from RNAcentral.
UCCAGGAACAGCCUCUAAGCUUCAGGUUACCAACAAUCGUACCCCAACCCGACACAGGUGGUCAGGGAGAGAAUACUCAGGCGCUUGAGAGAACACGGGUGAAGGAACUAGGCAAAAUGGUGCCGUAACUUCGGGAGAAGGCACGCUGGCGGUAGGUAAAGUCCCUCGCUGACAGAGCUGAAGCCAGUCGAAGAUACAAGCUGGCUGCAACUGUUUAUUAAAAACACAGCACUGUGCAAACACGAAAGUGGA